Molecule: long non-coding RNA, 1592 nt
Filed under: Fukomys damarensis (Damara mole-rat)
Lineage: Eukaryota; Metazoa; Chordata; Mammalia; Rodentia; Bathyergidae
Description: lncRNA (ENSFDAG00000028303.1)
Source: RNAcentral
CUAGAAAUGUCUUUAAAGCUAUAUGAGAAGCUACAUGUGGUGUGGGGGCACUACCUGCUAUCUCAGCACUGUGGGAGGCUGAGGCAGGAGGAGCCCAGUCCAGGCAACUUGGUGACUUGGGGUGACUCUGUCUCAAAAUAAAAAUAAAAAUAGAGCUAGGGAUGUAGCUCUAUGCAAACAUCACAGUUUCAGUUUCCAGUACUGAAAAGCAAACAAAAAGCCCAUAAACUCUCUGUGAAGAAUUUUUAAAGUAGCAUUAUCAUCAGUGGUGCUUGAAAGUCAUUCCCAGCAUCAGUACCAACUUAACUUCACAUGGGUCAUUGUGUAGCUACAACCUAAACGGCGGGAUAAAUGUGGCAACCAAGGCCUAACACAUUCAGAAACACAAUCUGGAAUCCCACGAAGGGAGAAGGCACAGAACCCAGGUGUACUGAAUUUUGUUCUGCCCUCUCAAAAUCUGAACCCCCAGCUGCCCUACUCCUACACCUAGUACUCUCAAAAGGGGUUAUCUACAGAACAUUUUAAAAUGUUCUCUCAUGUAUGUCUACACAAUUAUUGUUUUUAUCCUGCCCUUGAGGUCACACCUGGACCUGAGUUCUGGAAAGGAGCAGAAUCUGCCAUCAUUUCCAGGAGUCCUCAAUUUACCAUGCUGUCCAUGCAACUUUCCCGUUCACCCACCACCAUAUCUUGUCUUGGAACGAAAUGGCAGCUGGCGGCAGCACAACCAGUCAGAGUUUUCUCAUUUUCCAGAUGCACACACAGGCUUAACUAAGCAGGUACAACGAUCAACAAAGAACCAGAUGAACAUGCAUCACUUUCCCUUGUUUGCCGCGAGGCAGCUCACCUCUGGGCCCAGGAACCCAAACCGGUAGGCAUGUAUUUCCCUUCAUAAUUACAAUCAGCCCACGAGUCUCAUCACAGUCAGCGUGAUAGUAAUACUUUUUAUAAGACUCAUUUCCACAACACUUAAACAUGGGUUUUUUUCUGACAUUGUCUCCUUUAGCUUCUAGAACAUAGGGAAAGCUUUAUAUGGAAACCUCAGUUGAUGGGUUAAACAUUAGUAAUACCACUUUCACCAUAACUGAUGGUUUACAAGGCAUAUUGCCACUCAUGUUCUUAUUGAAGAUCCUACUAGUACUUAGUGUUUAAUAUACUUAACAUCUUCCAGCUAUCAGUGGAUAUGAAACUUGGGGUGAUCUCUGUGACUGGUAUAAAUAACAGAACAAUUUUUAAAAGAAAAUACAAAUUUGGUAUAGUGCCGCCAUUGUAAACCUGAGGCGGAUUUAAUGUCUUGCCUCUAGGCUAAAGGGAAUUAACCUGAGAAGGCAAUGCUUACUUGGUUUGUAAAAGAGCCAGCUGUAGUUCUUUUUAGUUUGUUUGUUUGGAGACAGGGUCUCACUAUGUAGUUGACAUUGACCUGGAACUCACUAUGCAGUCCAAGCUGGUCUCUAACUCACAGCGAUCCUCCUGCCUCAGCCUCCCAAGUGCUGGGAUUACAGGUGUGCGCCACCACACCCAGCUUCCAGCUGUAGCUCUUAAGAAAGUUUCUUACUCCUGCAAUUUCUCCACCUUCUGAAUUUACAGAAAUUGAG